This 255-nucleotide ribosomal RNA is filed under the name uncultured bacterium. RNAcentral's name for it is "partial 16S ribosomal RNA". It matches the Rfam family "Bacterial small subunit ribosomal RNA", at positions 524 to 776 of the family's 1533-position model. The record is from RNAcentral.
UACGUAGGGUGCAAGCGUUGUCCGGAAUUAUUGGGCGUAAAGAGCUCGUAGGUGGCGGGUCACGUCGGGUGUGAAAGCCCGGGGCUUAACCCCGGGUCUGCAUUCGAUACGGGCAGGCUGGAGUUCGGUAGGGGAGACUGGAAUUCCUGGUGUAGCGGUGAAAUGCGCAGAUAUCAGGAGGAACACCGGUGGCGAAGGCGGGUCUCUGGGCCGAUACUGACGCUGGAGGAAGCGAAAGCGUGGGGAGCGAACAGG